Molecule: ribosomal RNA, 253 nt
Filed under: uncultured bacterium
Lineage: Bacteria
Description: partial 16S ribosomal RNA
Rfam family: Bacterial small subunit ribosomal RNA
Source: RNAcentral
UACGGAGGUUGCGAGCGUUAUUCGGAUUUAUUGGGCGUAAAGGGCGCGUAGGCGGUUGAAUAAGUCAGAUGUGAAAGCCCUUGGCUUAACCAAGGAAGUGCAUUUGAUACUAUUUGACUUGAGUAUGGGAGAGGGAAGUGGAAUUCCUGGUGUAGAGGUGAAAUUCGUAGAUAUCAGGAGGAACACCGGUGGCGAAAGCGACUUCCUGGACCAAUACUGACGCUGAGGCGCGAAGGCGUGGGGAGCAAACAGG